GGUUCGAUGGUGUAGUUGGUUAUCACGUUCGCCUCACAUCUUGUGCAGUACGCGAAAGGUCGCGAGUUCGAGCCUCGCUUGAAUCA
Non-coding RNA from Alternaria incomplexa, 86 nucleotides. NCBI's taxonomy places the organism in Eukaryota, Fungi, Ascomycota, Dothideomycetes, Pleosporales, Pleosporaceae. The record is from the annotation of a RefSeq genome assembly.